GAUGAACGCUGGCGGCGUGCCUAAUACAUGCAAGUCGAGCGAACGGACGAGAAGCUUGCUUCUCUGAUGUUAGCGGCGGACGGGUGAGUAACACGUGGAUAACCUACCUAUAAGACUGGGAUAACUUCGGGAAACCGUAGCUAAUACCGGAUAAUAUUUUGAACCGCAUGGUUCAAAAGCGAAAGACGGUCUUGCUGUCACUUAUAGAUGGAUCCGCGCUGCAUUAGCUAGUUGGUAAGGUAACGGCUUACCAAGGCAACGAUGCAUAGCCGACCUGAGAGGGUGAUCGGCCACACUGGAACUGAGACACGGUCCAGACUCCUACGGGAGGCAGCAGUAGGGAAUCUUCCGCAAUGGGCGAAAGCCUGACGGAGCAACGCCGCGUGAGUGAUGAAGGUCCUCGGAUCGUAAAACUCUGUUAUUAGGGAAGAACAUAUGUGUAAGUAACUGUGCACAUCUUGACGGUACCUAAUCAGAAAGCCACGGCUAACUACGUG
This 497-nucleotide ribosomal RNA is filed under the name uncultured bacterium. Its description in RNAcentral is "partial 16S ribosomal RNA". It matches the Rfam family "Bacterial small subunit ribosomal RNA", at positions 28 to 507 of the family's 1533-position model. The record is from RNAcentral.